Molecule: long non-coding RNA, 656 nt
Filed under: Gossypium barbadense (sea-island cotton)
Lineage: Eukaryota; Viridiplantae; Streptophyta; Magnoliopsida; Malvales; Malvaceae
Description: long non-coding RNA (GBAR_LNC021235)
Source: RNAcentral
CGGAGUAGGGGGAAGGAUGGUAGGGGAGAGGGAAAGAAUCAGAGUAGGGGAAGAGGGUUAGUAAAGCAACGAUGUGAAGGGGGAAGGGAAAUCAUAAGAGUAGGAGGAGGGAUGGUAAGGAAAAGGGAGAGGGAUGGGAAAUGGGGAUGGAAAAUGAAAAUCUGUAACGGAAUCUACUUUGAUGGGAGUUCCAGCAGAAAAGUGCAGUUGAUGGAAUCUACUUUGAAGAGAAUGAUGAGGUCUCUCUCUGAUUUUUUCAUCUCCAUGAACUUCAAUCUCUCUCUCUCUCUAUAUAUGUAUAUAAACAACAUCAUCCCUCACCAUUCCUGCUUUUAACUUGUGCAGUAUGCUCCUGUGGUUGAGAUGUUGGAUGAGCCGAGCGGUAGCGAACCCACAUCUUAGAUAGUUACAUCAUGUCUUAUUAUUUUUUGUUAAUACAUUAACGGCUGUGAGGGUAGUUUUCAACUUUGGAAAUAGCAAGUCUGUGGUAUAUCAGCCUAUAGGAUCAGAGGUAAACAACACUUGAAAUUAAUUCCAUGUAUAAAUCAAUUAUCUAAACUACAAUGAACUUCCAAUCUUGUCUCAAAAUUGUGUGACCAUGGACUGGGACAUAUGCUUAAUUUAAGCCCUGAAAUGCAGUGUUCGAUAGAUACAGC